RNAcentral lists this ribosomal RNA (493 nucleotides) under uncultured bacterium. RNAcentral describes it as "partial 16S ribosomal RNA". It matches the Rfam family "Bacterial small subunit ribosomal RNA", at positions 28 to 507 of the family's 1533-position model. The record is from RNAcentral.
GACGAACGCUGGCGGCGUGCUUAACACAUGCAAGUCGAACGGUGAAGGGACCGGUUUUUGCUGGUUCUGGAUGAGUGGCGAACGGGUGAGUAACACGUGAGUAACCUGCCCCCUUCUUCUGGAUAACCGCAUGAAAGUGUGGCUAAUACGGGAUAUUCUGCGCCUGCUGCAUGGUGGGUGUGGGAAAGAUAUUGUUUCGGUGGGGGAUGGGCUCGCGGCCGAUCAGCUUGUUGGUGGGGUGAUGGCCUACCAAGGCGGUGACGGGUAGCCGGCCUGAGAGGGUGGACUGGCACACUGGGGCUGAGACACGGCCCAGACUCCUACGGGAGACAGCAGUGGGGAAUAUUGCACGAUGGGCUCAAGCCUGAUGCAGCGUCGCCGCGUGAGUGAUGGAGGCCUGCGGGUUGUAAACCUCUUUCGCCAGUGAAGCAGGCCUGUCCCUUUUGUGAGUGGGUUGACGGUAGCUGGAGAAGAAGCGCCGGCUAACUACGUG